UACGAAGGAUGCAAGCGUUAUCCGGAUUCAUUGGGUUUAAAGGGUGCGUAGGCGGACUUGUAAGUCAGUGGUGAAAUCUCUCAGCUUAACUGAGAAACUGCCAUUGAUACUAUAGAUCUUGAAUUUUCUGGAGGUAAGCGGAAUAUGUCAUGUAGCGGUGAAAUGCUUAGAUAUGACAUAGAACACCAAUUGCGAAGGCAGCUUGCUACAGGGAUAUUGACACUGAGGCACGAAAGCGUGGGGAUCAAACAGG
RNAcentral lists this ribosomal RNA (253 nucleotides) under uncultured bacterium. RNAcentral describes it as "partial 16S ribosomal RNA". It matches the Rfam family "Bacterial small subunit ribosomal RNA", at positions 524 to 776 of the family's 1533-position model. The record is from RNAcentral.